Molecule: transfer RNA, 90 nt
Filed under: Nostoc sp. NIES-4103
Lineage: Bacteria; Bacillati; Cyanobacteriota; Cyanophyceae; Nostocales; Nostocaceae
Description: tRNA-Ser
Rfam family: tRNA
About the family: Transfer RNA (tRNA) molecules are approximately 80 nucleotides in length.
Source: RNAcentral
UGGAGAGGUGGCAGAGUGGUCGAUUGCACUCGACUUGAAAUCGAGCGGUCAUUUAGAGUGAUCCGGGAGUUCGAAUCUCCCCCUCUCCGU